GUGAACGCUGGCGGUAGGCCUAACACAUGCAAGUCGAACGGCAGCACAGUAAGAGCUUGCUCUUACGGGUGGCGAGUGGCGGACGGGUGAGGAAUACAUCGGAAUCUACUUUUUCGUGGGGGAUAACGUAGGGAAACUUACGCUAAUACCGCAUACGACCUACGGGUGAAAGCAGGGGAUCUUCGGACCUUGCGCGAUUGAAUGAGCCGAUGUCGGAUUAGCUAGUUGGCGGGGUAAAGGCCCACCAAGGCGACGAUCCGUAGCUGGUCUGAGAGGAUGAUCAGCCACACUGGAACUGAGACACGGUCCAGACUCCUACGGGAGGCGGCAGUGGGGAAUAUUGGACAAUGGGCGCAAGCCUGAUCCAGCCAUACCGCGUGGGUGAAGAAGGCCUUCGGGUUGUACAGCCAUUUUGUUGAGAAAGAAAAGCAGCAGGUUAAUACCCCGCUGUUAUGACGGUACCCAAAGAAUAAGCACCGGCUAACUUCGUG
This 491-nucleotide ribosomal RNA is filed under the name uncultured bacterium. Its description in RNAcentral is "partial 16S ribosomal RNA". It matches the Rfam family "Bacterial small subunit ribosomal RNA", at positions 29 to 507 of the family's 1533-position model. The record is from RNAcentral.